UGGGGAAUUUUGGACAAUGGGCGCAAGCCUGAUCCAGCUAUUCCGCGUGUGGGAUGACGGCCCCUCGGGGUUUGUAAAACCACUUUAGUAGAGAACGAAAAGGAGCUAUCGAAUAAAUAGCUCUGCUGACGGUACUCUAAGAAUAAGCACCGGCUAACUACGUGCC
Molecule: ribosomal RNA, 166 nt
Filed under: uncultured bacterium
Lineage: Bacteria
Description: partial 16S ribosomal RNA
Rfam family: Bacterial small subunit ribosomal RNA
Source: RNAcentral